UCGAGAAUUUUUCUCAAUGGGCGAAAGCCUGAAGGAGCGACGCCGCGUGGGGGAUGAAUGGCUUCGGCCCGUAAACCCCUGUCAUUUGUGAACAAAUUGUUUCACCUAACACGUGAAGCAUUGAUUGUAGCGGAAGAGGAAGGGACGGCUAACUCUGUGCCAGCAGCCGCGGUAAUACAGAGGUCCCAAGCGUUGUUCGGAUUCACUGGGCGUAAAGGGUGCGUAGGCGGCCAGGUAAGUUUGAUGUGAAAUCCCGCAGCUCAACUGCGGAACUGCAUUGAAUACUAUUUGGCUCGAGGAAUGGAGGGGAGACUGGAAUUCUCGGUGUAGCAGUGAAAUGCGUAGAUAUCGAGAGGAACACCAGUGGCGAAGGCGAGUCUCUGGACAUUUCCUGACGCUCAGGCACGAAAGCCAGGGGAGCAAACGGGAUUAGAUACCCCCGUAGUCC
RNAcentral lists this ribosomal RNA (448 nucleotides) under uncultured bacterium. RNAcentral's name for it is "bacterial SSU rRNA". It matches the Rfam family "Bacterial small subunit ribosomal RNA", at positions 355 to 796 of the family's 1533-position model. The record is from RNAcentral.